CUUUAAAUGGAGUUGGCCUAUUUGCCUCAAAGGUCCCUUUCAACUCAGGGGGAAAAAAUCUCUGAUCCUGUAAUUAAGUGGAAGGACCUGAGGCCAAAGAGGCUUAGCUGAGCAGCUCAAGAUUACACAGAUAAAGAGGGAAACUGAGGCAAAUCACCCAAGCUCACUAUAAAGUGCAAUCAGCAUCUGAAAUCUUCACUCCAAAUCCUGUAUUCCUAUCUGCCUCCUCUGUCUUGGACUCUGGGAAAUUGGUACUACCAACGUAUUUUUCCUUUUGACAUAUGAAGAAAAUAAAGUUC
Monodelphis domestica (gray short-tailed opossum) is the source of this 299-nucleotide long non-coding RNA. RefSeq lists it as uncharacterized. The record is from RefSeq and is a predicted model, not a curated record. NCBI's taxonomy places the organism in Eukaryota, Metazoa, Chordata, Mammalia, Didelphimorphia, Didelphidae.